This 550-nucleotide ribosomal RNA is filed under the name fungal sp. BLH11. RNAcentral describes it as "eukaryotic LSU rRNA". The stretch from base 192 to 345 matches the Rfam family "5.8S ribosomal RNA". Lineage: Eukaryota; Fungi. The record is from RNAcentral.
GCGGAGGGAUCAUUAAAGAGUUGCGAGACUCCCAAACCAUUGUGAACGUAUCCGUCAGUGUUGCUUCGGCGGGCGUCCCCGGGGAGGGGACGCAGCCCAAGGCCCCGAGAGGGGCGGCGGGCGCCCGCCGGAGGUACCAAACCCUUCUGUAUUAUAGUGGCACUUCUGAGUAAACAAGCAAAAUAAGUCAAAACUUUCAACAACGGAUCUCUUGGUUCUGGCAUCGAUGAAGAACGCAGCGAAAUGCGAUAAGUAAUGUGAAUUGCAGAAUUCAGUGAAUCAUCGAAUCUUUGAACGCACAUUGCGCCCGCUGGUAUUCUAGCGGGCAUGCCUGUUCGAGCGUCAUUUCAACCCUCAAGCCCUGCUUGGUGUUGGGGCCCUACGGCUGCCGUAGGCCCUGAAAAAAAGUGGCGGGCUCGCUAUAGCUCCGAGCGUAGUAGAAAUAUCUCGCUAGGGACGUGUGGCGCGCUCCUGCCGUUAAAGACCCCUCUUUAACACUAGGUUGACCUCGGAUCAGGUAGGAAUACCCGCUGAACUUAAGCAUAUCAAU